Strongylocentrotus purpuratus (purple sea urchin) is the source of this 6716-nucleotide long non-coding RNA. RefSeq lists it as uncharacterized. The transcript has 3 exons. The record is from RefSeq and is a predicted model, not a curated record. Lineage: Eukaryota; Metazoa; Echinodermata; Echinoidea; Camarodonta; Strongylocentrotidae.
UUGGAUGAUGUUCGUGUAGAUGCAGAUGAAGAAUGCAACAUAGAUCCAGAUGUUGAUGAUGAUCCUGACAACGAAGUGAACAGGCCCGAUGAUGCUGUUUUGAUGGAUGAGAUGUCAGACAAAGAAAAUGAAGGUAUGAGCAUGCCGCAGCAAAGCAGAAAGAAGAGUGACCAAGUUGCAAACAAGGAAAGUGACCGUGGUGCCAGCAGAAAGAAAAGGAGUAUCAGACAAUCUUGGACAGCUGAAGAAAAACAAGCAAUACACAGACACUUUAAAGAAGAACUACGCUCACGCCAACUGCCCGGUAAAGAAAAAAUAAUGAAGUACUGCAAGAUGGAUGCAGACCUGAAGGGUCGUACUAAAAGGUGGACAACAGUCAAAGAUUUCAUUAGAAACCAAAUUAGAAAGACAAAUCCACUGGAUUUUUAGUGAAUUUUCAACCUGUUAUGAGUGAAAUUAAUCAUGUUCAUCACACUCCGCAAUUUUGGAUGAAAUCUUUUCAGGUACUGACAUGCGUAAAAUGUGGUUGCUUCUUAUUCAUAUAACCCACUUACUGGUUUCCUUGAUGAAGGGCUGUGCUUUGGAAGAGGUGCACCUUUAUAUAGGUUAACAGUUAACUCCAUGGCCAGGAAGCAUACUGUGUGUAAAGCAGUGUAUGGUUCUGCAAGUCAAAUGGGAACUUAAUAGGAAAAACUUAAUUACCUGCCCAGUUGGUCAGGGCCAGGGAGUAGACUUGUGUCUAACAGUAUGUAUACUGUAUAGAAGAUUGUAAGGCAAAUGGGAACUUUUGUGCUAAAGUUGUUUGAUAAGCCCCAGUUUGCCAGGUUAACGUUUUGCAGUUUAAAUGAUGACUUACAGGUCAAUUUUAUCAGCUCCCAUAUCACCAGAUGGUCAACGUCAGUGAGCAUCACAUGUGUAACAAUGUGCAUAAAGGUUUACAGGUCAAACUCCAACUUUGCUCACUUCCCCUAGAUUAGGUUCAUGGUUGAUAGGACUCGUGAUAGGACUAGAUGUAUAAUGUUUUCCAUAUCAACUGGGAAUUAAGAGCCAACUGUGAUCAGGUCCUCAGUUGGCUUAGACCAUGACAAGGAAGCAUCCACAUGUGUACACUAUGUAAAAUAAAGUUUGCAGGUCAAAUAGGGACUUUAGGCCAACUUUGCUUGGCUCCCCAGUUAAAUAGGCCAGUAUGUAAUGUUUUGCAAUCAACUAGUGACUUAUGGGCAAUUUUGAUCAGGUCCUCAGUUGGCUUGGGUCCGAUUACCAGGAAGCAUCCGCAUGUGUACAUUGUGUGAAAGUUAAGUUUGUAGGUCAAAUGGGCACUUUUGGUCAACUUUACUUGGCUCACCAGUUGAUCAGGGCCAUGAUGACUCGUCAAAGGACCGCUAUGUAUAAUGUUUGGAUUUAAGAGCCAACUGUGAUGAUCGAGGUCCUCAGUUGGCUAGUUCCAGCUGAUGAGGAAGCAUCCACAUUGUGUAAACUAAAGUUUGCACGUCAAAUGGGGACUUAUGGCUAACUUGACUCGUCAAAGGCCCGCUACUUGCAAAAUUUAGAUUUUUAAGUACAUUGCAGAUCAAAUGGGACAUAGCUACCACCUUUGAUCCUCAAUUAGUCAAGGCCAGGUGAAGUCCCAUGAAAUUGAAAAUUGUGUAAAAAGUAACAUGUCUAAUUUUGAUUUAUGAGACAACUUGGUUAGCAGUUGGGUUUUGACUGUUGGUCAAUUACCAUGGACCUUUGGCCUUUAUUAGACUUUAUAAAUAUCUCACCACUCUUGUCCAAUUUCAUCUAAGUUUGGACCCUUUUUUUCAAAAAAAUCAUCAAAAAGUAGACCAUUUGCCCCUUUUGUGAAAUUUAAUCAGGUCCUCGCACUCAGCUAUUGGGUAGGGCCAGAUAACCAUUAAAGCAUAAUCAUGUGUUCAAUGUGUUUCUAUUAAGUUAUGUCUGCAGAUCAAAUGGGACUUUGUACCAUCUAUGAUCAGAUCCCCAGUUAGUCAAGGCCAAAUUGUGAAUAAAGUUUUACAGAUCAAAUGUGGACUCAAAGCUUGCCAGCUUCGAUAAUUUUCCAGUUGCAGUCAAUUAUCAGGGAGCAUUGACCAAUGUGUAACAGUUUGUAUAAAGAUUUGCAGGGUAAGUGGGGUAUAUUUCUGCGACAAACUAUGAUCAGCUUCUGAGCCAAGAACAUUGUUUAUUUAAGGAUGCACUCAGCAACAUGCUUUAUGCAGUAUAGUUCAUCUCGUAUGUAACUCAAAAACUAUUGAUGGGAAGUGUAUAAAGGUAUACAUUUUCUGGCUGAAAAUGACCUGUUAAAUCCAUUGAACACAUACAAUUUGGACAACAAUUUAUCAUUUUUUUUACCCAUUUUUUUCGACCACCAUAAAUAAAAUAUCCUUGCAACAAAAAAUUAUUUUCCUAGUGUCCAAAAUAUAACUCACAAUGUACCAAAAAUAUAAUAACCAAGUUUGAACUUAUGAGUUGUGGGCUAUAAAAAAAGUUCUAGGGCCUAAUUACAAAAAAACGUUACUAGAUUUUAGUAGGUACAAUGUAUUCUGUAUGAAAUCUUAAAUCAGAAAUGUUUUAUUUUUGAGUCCUGAGGGUUCAAAACUCAUAUAAACUAUUAAAAAUGAAAUGGCUGAAAUUAUGAUUUUAUGCAGAAACAUGGAUUUUCAGUUGCAUUUUCAAUCUCAUCUUGAAAACCCCAAGAUCCUGUGUCUCGAUCCUGACUUUGGUAUACGGUUGCCGACAAUAUGCUGCAUCCGAUGGUACAUUAGACAUUUUUUCCAAUUGAAUUUAUAUGGAUUUGAGAGUAAACGUCCACAUGGUCUCACCAUCUGUUUACAUUGCUUGCUGUUUCCAUGGGCGUUGUGUCACGUAGAUAGAUUGCGCGGAUAUUGCACAUCGUGUUGCAAUGUGACGGGACACGUAGCAUGCAUCGCAUAAACGGACACUGUCAUUUUGCGUUAAAAAAGGUUUCAUCUGUAGUUUUGUUAGAUUUUAAACCUGAAAAGGGUCCACAAAACAGUUUUUGAUGGUUCAAUGUUUAUAUUAGCAUCACAGAAUUUACUGACAUGAUGGAACAGAGUUUGAAGAUAGCAAUAAAAAAAAAUCAUUUAAGGGUAUGGCAAACUUUGACGUUGCUGGGUGCAUCCUUAAGUUGUAGGUAAUUACAUGUUUUAAGAUGUUAAAAGUUGUGUAGAUCAAAUGGGGACUUUGCAGGCCAACCUUGAUUAUUACCUCCCGGCUGGUCGUCCUAGGAAUUGAAUAGCCCAUGUAUAAAGGUUUUCAGCUUAAACGGGGACAUAUGAUGCUCACUUGUGUUGACCCAGCUGGGGAGAUAAUAAGAGUUAGCCCCAAAGUCCCUUUGCAAACAUGAGAUGCUCCAUUGCAUUUCUCCAAUCUGUGAUCUGAUCAAACUUGUUAAGGUACUAUGCCCAUUCAAGUUUGAUAUCUCCUCAUUUGGCUGGGAUCAGAAGCAUCUUCGUUCCUGUACUGUGUAGAGUAGCAACUCAUUUACACAAAGUUGGUGGGGGUUUGGAUUUAGGUUUGUGUUAUCAGGAUAGAAUGAAAUUUACAAGAACACCUUGGAAAUUGAAUUCCUCUUUGUAUUAUUUGGAACUUUGUGUUAAGAAAAGGGUUUGCAAGAACGAGUUGCCACUGUAUGAGGUAAUUUGUUGGUCAAACAGCGACUUAUGGGUCAGCUUUGAUAAGCUACAGAGUUGGUCACCUCCAAUCUUGCAUAUACCAUUGAGUGUAUUCAAUUUUUCAUCCAGUGUUGUUUUGAACAGUUUUAUAGUUUUACAUACAUGUACACAAUCUAUAUAAAGUUCUGAAAUGGAUAGUGCAUGCAAGAGUGUUUUGUUCAUAUAUGAAAAUGUGACAUAUUACAAAUUUACCCUUGGUUCAGUUUGUUGUUAUGAAUUUCUGAUGUUUGUGUUUGUUUUUGUUUUUUGUAAAGAGUGAGUUAAAUGUCUUAACAAGACAUGUUCUCAUGCAAUGCAAUCAAUGCAAUCAAUUGUUAAUCUUUUCCUGUUAUGUGGAAAAAAAUGUGUAUGCUUUAAGUAAUGAAUACCCUUUGUUUCAUCACAACUUCUGUAGUGACAUCACCUGCAAAGAACACUUUUUCUGGGUUUGAAUUCCAAGCGUGAUGACCACCGCCAAUUAUAAGUGUGGGUUCUGCUUCUAAAGGAACAUUAAAAAAAUAGUUUUUAUUGAAUUGAAUCUUGUCUUCCUGAUGAUUUAUAAAAUAUUUUAGAUGGGAAUCUGUAGAUGAGUUAUACAACAAAUGAUAAAUGUUUUAUUCAUCGGAUAGAAUAUUUUCAUUUUAGUGGAAGAUUGGCCGUUCCGCCAGCUCCUGGUAUGGUGCAACUAAUCUUUCACCUCAUGAAAAUAUUCUUACCAGAGCACUCUCAAAUUAUAUGUAUAACAUUUUGUUAUUUGAUGUAGCUAGUAUGAGCAAUGUUGUAAUACAUUUGUUAGUUGUGUAUUAAAAUGUAACCACUAGCCUGUAUUAAACAGUAUAUCAUAUUAUAAUAGUUAGAUCAGGUAUAUACAGUUUACAAUUCACCGUUCAUAGUGUACAUGUUAAAAAAGUUGAUUGUUCAGUAUCAUUGCAGUUAAAUGCUGGUUGACCAAAAUUUGUGGAAUGGCUGGUAUUUCAGAAAAGGAGUUGAAACAGAAGGUCAGGUUUAUCAUUGAAGAAAUAUUAUUUGGGCAAAAGCUGUUUUAUAUCAAAUUCAUUCUAAAAAUAAAUCAUGUUUUGUAUUAUAGGUAUACCUACACUACAUUGUACAUUACUCUGUAUUUUACCAAAACGUCUGUAGUGACAAGCUACAGAGUUGGUCAACUCCAAUCUUGCAUAUACCAUUGAGUGUAUUCAAUUUUUCAUCCAGUGUUGUUUUGAACAGUUUUAUAGUUUUACAUACAUGUACACAAUCUAUAUAGAGUUCUGAAAUGGAUAGUGCAUGCAAGAGUGUUUUGUUCAUAUAUGAAAAUGUGACAUAUUACAAAUUUACCCUUGGUUCAGUUUGUUGUUAUGAAUUUCUGAUGUUUGUGUUUGUUUUUGUUUUUUGUAAAGAGUGAGUUAAAUGUCUUGACAAGACAUGUUCUCAUGCAAUGCAAUCAAUUGUUAAUCUUUUCCUGUUAUGUGGAAAAAAAUGUGUAUGCUUUAAGUAAUGAAUACCCUUUGUUUCAUCACAACUUCUGUAGUGACAUCACCUGUCAGGUUUAUCAUUGAAGAAAUAUUAUUUGGGCAAAAGCUGUUUUAUAUCAAAUUCAUUCUAAAAAUAAAUCAUGUUUUGUAUUAUAGGUAUACCUACACUACAUUGUACAUUACUCUGUAUUUUACCAAAAUGUCUGUAGUGACAUCACAUGCUUUUCGUGCGUGCUUCAUGAUCGUUAAGAUAAGGUGAUUGAAUAGGCAUGGACAGGUUGAUACGCUUGGAACGCAAACUAGUUGACGUCACUACAAAUGUUUUGUGAAACAAAGGGUAUUGUCGUCGUAUUCAAAUUUGAAUUUAGAUUCUCUGUAGGGCCCACCAGUGGGAAUAGCCCAGCACCCAUAGACAGUCAAAAUGAAGAAUGAUGUGCAAAACUAUAAUGCUGGUUGAAGAGAUGAAUGAUCACUAUGUCUGGUUUGUCGUCUACGUCGGACUAUAACCCAACUCCAUGGACAAUGUGACCUAUUAUCUGACAUGAAAGUGAUAAUUUAAAAUGUCUAUAUGUAGUCCAUUUUCCAACAGUUUUGUUUGACUGUAUUUCUUUGCCCAAUACUUUUGUACAAAGAAGACAAGAUUAGCACAAAAGUGAUGUAUUGGUCAUGUUUUGAUGUUACUAUCCAUCCACUAAAAUGUAAUGUUUAUAUGUUCAUAACAUAUCACUUUGUAACCCGAGUUCUAUACAAAAAUGAAAUGGAUUAUGGAAUUCGGAAUCCUGGGUUCAGAACACAAAUAUGCUGAUACUUUCCACUUGCUUUUAUUAACAAAUGUAACUUUCAUUCUUUAAAUUAAGAUCUUGAUUAAAGAGACACGGGCAUAUUUGGAAAUAUUUGUCCAACUCUGAUAUUUCUGUUGCGAUCUUAUUUUGAUGUACACAUCUUGACUGCCCAGCACGCCAUUCCAAAGUGGAUAUUUUCAAAGCAGAUACUAAUGCCCUCGCUGGGACUGAAGGUUUUUGUAGGGAUUUUAAAUAAAAUGUUAUUAUUCAGAUCCAUAUUCAUGCCGCCUUUAAAAGCAAAAUCACCACUUACGAUUUUUUUUUUUUUUAACAGCUUGAAGCGAAAUACAUUAGUUUUUAUCAUGUCAGAUUUCAAUUUUGUAACAUCUAAACAUGAAAAUUAAGGUUUUGCAAAAACGCUAUUCAGAAGCUUAGUACUCAAACUCUUUCUUGUGUAUACCAAAUUAUGAUAGAGGUAAAUAUUAAUGUUAUGUAGUUUGCUACUCCAAUUUCAAUAUUGCAACACCAUGAUUCACUUUUAUAUGGGAAUUUUUGUUUUUAAAGGUCACUGGGGGCUGAUUUCACUGCAAAAGAAGGCAUGAAUAUGGGUCUAAACAAUCCCCAAGUUGCGAGUAACUCCUCUCCUACCAUACCUGUAUAACAGCCCACCUAUGUGUUCGUUGUCCUCUGAACUGAGAUGUAUCAUGUUUUGUUGGAACCUUGUUUUAUAAGCCUUAUUUUUUCAAAGUUGUCUUUAAUAAUAAAAACAGUUUUGCUGUAUUUGAAAGGCA